AUUGAACGCUGGCGGAAUGCUUUACACAUGCAAGUCGAACGGCAGCACGGACUUCGGUCUGGUGGCGAGUGGCGAACGGGUGAGUAAUGUAUCGGAACGUGCCCAGUCGUGGGGGAUAACGUAGUGAAAAUUACGCUAAUACCGCAUACGAUCUAUGGAUGAAAGCGGGGGAUCGCAAGACCUCGCGCGAUUGGAGCGGCCGAUAUCAGAUUAGGUAGUUGGUGGGGUAAAGGCCCACCAAGCCAACGAUCUGUAGCGGGUCUGAGAGGACGACCAGCCACAAUGGCACGGAGACACGGUCCAGACUCCUACGGGAGGCAGCAGUGGGGAAUUUUGGACAAUGGGCGAAAGCCUGAUUCAGCCAUUCCGCGUGCAGGAUGAAGGCCCUCGGGUUGUAGACUGCUUUUGUACAGAACGAAAAGGUUUCUACUAAUACUAGGAGCUCAUGACGGUACUGUAAGAAUAAGCACCGGCUAACUACGUGCCAGCCGCCGCGGUAA
RNAcentral lists this ribosomal RNA (500 nucleotides) under uncultured bacterium. RNAcentral describes it as "partial 16S ribosomal RNA". It matches the Rfam family "Bacterial small subunit ribosomal RNA", at positions 30 to 523 of the family's 1533-position model. The record is from RNAcentral.